Molecule: transfer RNA, 73 nt
Filed under: Toxocara canis (dog roundworm)
Lineage: Eukaryota; Metazoa; Nematoda; Chromadorea; Rhabditida; Toxocaridae
Rfam family: tRNA
About the family: Transfer RNA (tRNA) molecules are approximately 80 nucleotides in length. Their secondary structure includes four short double-helical elements and three loops (D, anti-codon, and T loops).
Source: Rfam by way of RNAcentral
GGCCCUGUGGCCUACUGGAUAAGGCGUCGCUAUCCUAAAGCGAAGAUCGCAGGUUCGAGUCCUGUCAGGGUCG